GAACGCUAGCGGCAGGCUUAACACAUGCAAGUCGAGGGGUAUGCCGAUUUAUCGGCAGAGACCGGCGCACGGGUGCGUAACGCGUAUGCAAUCUACCUUUCACAGAGGGAUAGCCCAGAGAAAUUUGGAUUAAUACCUCAUAGUAUAGCAGUUUCGCAUGAAACCACUAUUAAAGUUCCAACGGUGAAAGAUGAGCAUGCGUCCCAUUAGCUAGUUGGUAAGGUAACGGCUUACCAAGGCUACGAUGGGUAGGGGUCCUGAGAGGGAGAUCCCCCACACUGGUACUGAGACACGGACCAGACUCCUACGGGAGGCAGCAGUGAGGAAUAUUGGACAAUGGGCGCAAGCCUGAUCCAGCCAUGCCGCGUGCAGGAUGACGGUCCUAUGGAUUGUAAACUGCUUUGUACAAGAAGAAACACUACUUCGUGAAGUAGCUUGACGGUACUGUAAGAAUAAGGAUCGGCUAACUCCGUG
This 474-nucleotide ribosomal RNA is filed under the name uncultured bacterium. RNAcentral's name for it is "bacterial SSU rRNA". It matches the Rfam family "Bacterial small subunit ribosomal RNA", at positions 31 to 507 of the family's 1533-position model. The record is from RNAcentral.